GGGGGGGGGGGAGCCCAUGGUCACUCACAGCCCACUCAGAGCCCGUGCCCACUCAUAGCCCAGGGUCACUCACAGCCCACUCACAGCCCAUGCCCACUCAUAGCCCAGGGUCACUCACAGCCACUCACAGCCCAUGCCCACUCAUAGCCUAGGGUCACUCACAGCCACACACAGCCCAUGUCCACUCAGAGCCCAUGGUCACUCACAGCCCACUCACAGCCCAUGCCCACUCAUAGCCCACGGUCACUCACAGCCCACUCACAGCCCAUGUCCACUCAGAGCCCAUGGUCACUCACAGCCCACUCACAGCCCAUGCCCACUCAUAGCCCACGGUCACUCACAGCCCACUCACAGCCCAUGUCCACUCAGAGCCCAUGGUCACUCACAGCCCACUCACAGCCCAUGCCCACUCAUAGCCCACGGUCACUCACAGCCCACUCACAGCCCAUGUCCACUCAGAGCCCAUGGUCACUCACAGCCCACUCACAGCCCAUGCCCACUCAUAGCCCACGGUCACUCACAGCCCACUCACAGCCCAUGCCCACUCAUAGCCCAGGGUCACUCACAGCCCACUCACAGCCCAUGCCCACUCAUAGCCCAGGGUCACUCACAGCCCACUCACAGCCCAUGCCCACUCAUAGCCCAGGGUCACUCACAGCCCACUCACAGCCCAUGCCCACUCAUAGCCCAGGGUCACUCACAGCCCACUCACAGCCCAUGCCCACUCAUAGCCCAGGGUCACUCACAGCCCACUCACAGCCCAUGCCCACUCAUAGCCCAGGGUCACUCACAGCCCACUCACAGCCCAUGCCCACUCAUAGCCCAGGGUCACUCACAGCCCACUCACAGCCCAUGCCCACUCAUAGCCCAGGGUCACUCACAGCCCACUCACAGCCCAUGCCCACUCAUAGCCCAGGGUCACUCACAGCCCACUCACAGCCCAUGGUCACUCACAGCCCAUGGUCACUCACAGCCCAGGGUCACUCACAGCCCACUCACAGCCCAUGUCCACUCGUAGCCCAUGGUCACUCAUAGCCACACACAGCCUGGAAACACAGCACAAAUCUACCCAACAAAAUUUACCUGACCCUUUAAAGCUCACCAAAACAUGACAGAAGGUCCUCUUGAUAGUCUGUAUCAUAUAUAUGUUCUGAGACUGUGCUGCCCAUAUGUUCAAUAUUGGACCCACACACAGCCUGGUCCCACUCGUGACCAGACCCACUCAUGGCCCUGCCCCACUCACAUCCUGGUCACGCUCGCAGCCUGAACCCACCCACAGUCCAAACCCACUCACAGCCCAUGCCCGCCCAUGCCCACUCACAACCACAUCCCACUGAAAACCCAGAUCCCUCCAAACCCGGACCCGCUCCCAUCCCGGUCCCUCUCACAGCCCAUGCACCAUUCCCCUGGGGAGAUCCUGCCAGUGUUGCUGUGCCUGGGGUGUCUGACAGUGUGGCAGUGCUGCGCCAGGUUGUGGUGACACACCUCGGGGCAACCCGCCUGCCCCCUACUUUCCCCUGCCCCCUUUUCCCCACCAUGGUUGGUGUCCUGAUCCAGGGGAGAGCAUUCCUACUGGAGAUCAACGCUGGAUAAUGGAUAAUGACAGCCAGCUUAGGCACACAGUGCACUCACUCAUGAAAACAUCUCUGCUCCAGCCAUGUGGGGCUCUGCUACACGGGGGGAGCCACUGGAAGUCAUAAGACAUCCCACUUUCCUAAAAAAUCUAUGGAUAAAGUGACAUUGAGAGGGGGCUACAGCACUGGGAGACAUGGAAGGGUUUAAUGGAUCCUGCUUUCCUAAGGAGCCUCUGGAUAAAGCAGUGCUGAGAGGAUGCUGUGGCACUGGGAGAAAGGAAAAGGAUUUAAUAAACAGUCACUCCAAUGGAAGCACUUUAUCCUGGUUGGAGAGAGCCAGGCAGUGCUGAUGCACAGAUGAACACUGUCCUUCAUGUGCCACAUGUCCCUGGCCCUUCCCAAAGCCACUGUCCUCACACAGGUGCUUUGGGAUGUGUGGGGAUGAUCUGGGAGGACUCAGCCAUGCUGUGCCCUGUGGUUUCCUUCUGAAACCUCACAGGAGCUCUGGGUGGCACUGGGAUGUGCUGGUGUCCUCAGGCAAUGCUGUGGCUGGCCAGAGCCCACGGCCACAGUCUCACCCAUGUGGGUGGGGACAAACUGGUUUGGGAAUGCUGGUGGUGGUGAGCAGCACCCUUUUGGGGCAACAUCUCCUUCAUAUUGUGGGUUUAGCCCUGCUCUGCAAAUAACAGAGAAUGGCAUCGCCUGGAUUUGUGUAGCACAAAAUCCUCCUUUGUUUACAGCUUCCGAGAGCAGCAGAAAUCCGAAAUCCCCCCUCUGACAAAGAGAACCAGAAACACGCCGGCAUCCUCUCCAUUUCCUACAGAAAUCAGACGCUGGCUCCUCGCUCGCACCCCCGGCCUCACACCCCGCAGCGCACGUGGCUCUGCAGUGAGAACAGCCUUUGUGCCCAGCCUUUGUUUACUGCCCCGGCCAUCCCGAGGAGAGAUCCCACAGACAAGGGCAGUUUAUUCCUCUCCCCUGAUAAAGGCUCAUUCAUCCUCCCAGGGGGCUCGCCGUCAUCUCUGGAGAGCUCCGCAGUGGGACUCUGGGUUGUUUUUGCUCUGGCGCCAGUUUUGGGAGAGAGUUUGAGUAAAAAGGUGCAGAAUGCAAGAGAUUAUGAAAGGAGUUUUGUUCUCAAAUUAUUUUUUUCUGUUAUUGCUGCCAUUUCUUACCAAUAACCCAGAGGUACCUGUGGGUCAGCACCCAAGCCAAGCAUGCUCAGAUCUUUGAAUGAAUGAGAGCAGACUCCCUGCUCAUUCCCUUUUGAGUGAUCCUACUGCAUUUGGGCUGGAUAUAUGCAUCCCCUAACUUGGAAGAUAAAUAAUAAUAUCCCUUGGGUACGACUCCUGAGUUCUCAUGGACAAUAUUGAACACAAGCCCAGACCUGAAGAAGUACUUUUGCACCUGGAAGUUCCCCUGAUUUCUCCAAAUAUAUCAACAGUCCUAACAAAAACUGUUGCCUCUCCAUACAAACCUUUGCACUUAUCUAGUAUUUUCCAUAAACCUGGCACAUUCUCAGCCAGCUCAGCUCUGCCGAUUUACAGUGACCCUGUUUUUGCCCCAAAACGAGCAAAUACUGAUUUAUUUCUGUCAGAGCACCAGAGCCAUAAAUACAUUUCCCAACGCAGAUGAUUUCCUUCCCCAUCACAGGUCAGAACAGGAUAUUCAUGAUGCUGUAAAUUCUUCAGAGUAGCAAUCUGGCUGUAAUAUUUGUCUGCAGUGAAUCCAGCCCCCUUUUUGAGCUCUAAGGCAUAAAUCAGCAUCCCUCACAACACCUAAUUCUUCUGUUGCACAGCCUGGGCAGCAGUGGAGUGAGGGUUUGGGGGUGAAUGGACCAAGUUAGAAGGUUCUGGUGGGCAGCAUGGGCAGCUGGAAGUGUUACCUGGCUGGACAUCAUUAAAUCCCCCUUUCCCACAUCUGGUGCCUGCAGACACCCCUCAGUGAGAGGCUGGGACAGCUGCUGUGUUGGGAAAUCAAAAUGACCCAAAGGAUGUGGGUCUGUUCUGCAGAUGUCCCAGAAAAACCUAAUAACCUCGAUUCUGCCUGCGGGAUUAAAAAUACUUCUCUGCAUUCAAAUGUGCCACUUUGUUAAUUCCUGUGGCCUGGAAGAAGAGCCUUUCUCUUUGCAUUUUCUUGCCUUGUCUGCUACGUCUUGUCAAUGCCUUGUGACACCGUGAGGGAAGGCAGGAAAUUCUCUGUGACUUGGAGGUUUGCUUGGGUGAGCUGAAAAUGGAUCCAGAAAUCCUCACCCCUCGCUUCCUGCAGGAGAGCAGCUGUCAUGUGCCCCUACCCCGUGCCUUUUCCCUCCAUGUCUGCUUGCUUGGAGCCAGAGAUGCCCAGGGGAUGCCCAGCAUGGGAGAUGCAGGUGUCCCAGCCUGUCCCCACAGCAGGAAUUGUCACCACAGGUACACCAGCACACUUGGCACACCUCACACCCACAGUGACCACUGUUUGGUGUUUUCAGCUGGUGGGUGGCAAAGCUGUGAAGACCAGGGGACACAGGGUGGCGUUUCCCAGGGCUGGUGGGUGGGCCUGAAUGGGUCCCAUCCCUGGGAUGCAGCCCCAGGGCUCCCUGGCUGGGUGCUCACCCCAAGUCCCACUGCCCAGGCAGCUGCUGCUUGGACUGCCAUAAGGAAGGGGUGCCUGCCCAGGGGAGAACUUCUGUGACUCUUGCAGUUAUGUUGGUGGAAAAACAAGCUGAAGAAACCUCUGGCUUCAGUGUCCCCUUCCCUGAGGUUGCAGGACAGUGGUGCCCUCAUGUCCUCCCUGCUUGACCCUUUUCUGGGCCAGACUGCCUGUUCCCACCACCCCAGGGCUGGGGUGGCACCGUGGCCCAUUUCCCACCAUGCUGCCCUGAGCCUGGCUGUGUGACACAGCGAGGGACACGUCCCAGG
This 4468-nucleotide long non-coding RNA is filed under the name Ficedula albicollis (Collared flycatcher). RNAcentral describes it as "lncRNA (ENSFALG00000025754.1)". The record is from RNAcentral. Lineage: Eukaryota; Metazoa; Chordata; Aves; Passeriformes; Muscicapidae.